AGAGCUACAAUCUCUAUUGAUCAAUUUCCUGUUUUAAGACGGUAAGUUGUUUCCCCUCUUUCUCUGUACGUUCUUGGGCCAUGAUCAUGCAAUGACUUCUUUUUGCAUGUAUCUUGUUGUUUUUCUCUUCAAUUUAUAGCUGAAAUUAGGUUCUAAGGUUGAUUUCCUAUAACCAACUAGUGAUUUGUAAGUAGGGAUGACAAAA
Molecule: long non-coding RNA, 205 nt
Filed under: Vigna radiata
Lineage: Eukaryota; Viridiplantae; Streptophyta; Magnoliopsida; Fabales; Fabaceae
Description: long non-coding RNA (VRAD_LNC006984)
Source: RNAcentral